Molecule: ribosomal RNA, 665 nt
Filed under: Acanthotetilla celebensis
Lineage: Eukaryota; Metazoa; Porifera; Demospongiae; Tetractinellida; Tetillidae
Description: partial 28S ribosomal RNA
Rfam family: Eukaryotic large subunit ribosomal RNA
Source: RNAcentral
UCCCCCAGUAACGGCGAGCGAAGCGGGAAGAGCUCGAGUCGGCAAUCUCUGGCGUGCUUCGCCAGCGAAUUGUGGCCUGGAGAGGCGGGUGCACCCGACGCGCCUCCGKCGAAGUUGACCUGGAAAGGCACGUCGGAGAGGGUGAUAGCCCCGUGCGGGRCGGAGGCGCCGAGGGCCGCUACCGUCUUCGGAGAGUCGGGUUGUUUGGGAUUGCAGCCCAAAGUGGGUGGUAAACUCCACCUAAAGCCGAAGAGCGGCACGAGACCGAUAGCGAACAAGUACCGUGAGGGAAAGGUGAAAAGCACUUUGGAAAGAGAGUUAAAGAGAACGCGAAACCGUUAGGAGGGAAACGCGUGGAGCCGAAGGGGCCUCCGUCGAGUUCACGGGACGCCGUGGUCCCGCCGUGUYUKCGAAGGCGGSYUWYSGGSNCCUUKCGGGCGGUGGGCCCCGAGKYCCUGCRCYYUYGGSGUYNYGGCCGGCCMARGGCGGUGGUAGUCCGUGGCGAGGAGGGCACUCGGGUAGGUGGUGCCUCCGUGGUCGGAGGCGAGCUUAUAGCCGUGUGUCCGGUCAGCGUCCCGGUUCCACCGAGGAGAGCGGUGGCCGAUGUCACCCGUUGUGCGCAGGCUCGCCCCUUCGGGGGUCGGGCCGGGGCGCUUCUGUCCGUU